Molecule: long non-coding RNA, 215 nt
Filed under: Amborella trichopoda
Lineage: Eukaryota; Viridiplantae; Streptophyta; Magnoliopsida; Amborellales; Amborellaceae
Description: long non-coding RNA (ATRI_LNC001614)
Source: RNAcentral
AUAAAUGCUUUUUCUUGGUUUUGGAUAGUAUCUUCUAUAAUUGGUUCUUCUUCUGCAAGCAUCAUUGUUUCAUGCUCAGGUAUUACUAUGGCUUUUCCUUUGUCAGAAGACUCAGGUGGUUGAGAAAUAAUAGGUGGAGGAGGAAUAUUAAUUUGAGGUGAUGGUACUCCUUUAAUAUCUAACUGGGAUAGUUUUGAUAUUAAUUGAUCCAUAAG